CACGAUGGCGGGGUUUCUCGAUCAUCGGGAUCAAGGUUUUGACUACGCCGGGGAGGAAAGUCCGAGCUCCGAAGGAUGAUGCAUCCUGUUAACGUAGGACCGAUGGAACAGUUUUAAAAGGGUGUUAAACCAUCGAGGAUUAGAGCUACAGUGACGAUACCUGCUGGCGAGUCUCCUCUUUUCUGGGGACUCGUCCAUCAGGGGUGAAACGAGCAAUCUCUGCAUGGAGCAAGGCCAAAUAGGGGAAGAUGUUUCUCAUCCAAACGGUUGACCGGUGUUGGCGUGGGAGGCAACGAGGUGAUCCGCUUCGUCAGGAUUCCCGGGUAGGCUGCAAGAGUAUAGAGAGCGAUCUCUAAAGUCAGUUGAAUAACCACCCUUCGAUAGCAAUAUCGAAGCACAAAACUCGGCUUAUUGGCCUGCUUUUUUU
RNAcentral lists this RNase P RNA (427 nucleotides) under Omnitrophica WOR_2 bacterium GWA2_45_18. RNAcentral describes it as "RNase P RNA component class A". It matches the Rfam family "Bacterial RNase P class A". Rfam says of the family: Ribonuclease P (RNase P) is a ubiquitous endoribonuclease, found in archaea, bacteria and eukarya as well as chloroplasts and mitochondria. RNAcentral also lists the same sequence under 2 other names. Lineage: Bacteria; Pseudomonadati; Candidatus Omnitrophota. The record is from RNAcentral.